CAGUAGCCGCGGUAAUACGUAGGGUGCAAGCGUUAAUCGGAAUUACUGGGCGUAAAGCGUGCGCAGGCGGUUUGUUAAGACAGAUGUGAAAUCCCCGGGCUCAACCUGGGAACUGCAUUUGUGACUGGCAAGCUAGAGUAUGGCAGAGGGGGGUGGAAUUCCGCGUGUAGCAGUGAAAUGCGUAGAUAUGCGGAGAAACACCGAUGGCGAAGGCAGCCCCCUGGGCCAAUACUGACGCUCAUGCACGAAAGCGUGGGGAGCAAACAGGAUUAGAUACCCCUGUAGUCCUGUCUCUUAUACC
This 301-nucleotide ribosomal RNA is filed under the name uncultured bacterium. RNAcentral describes it as "partial 16S ribosomal RNA". It matches the Rfam family "Bacterial small subunit ribosomal RNA", at positions 509 to 808 of the family's 1533-position model. The record is from RNAcentral.